RNAcentral lists this small nuclear RNA (323 nucleotides) under Mus caroli (Ryukyu mouse). RNAcentral describes it as "sRNA (MGP_CAROLIEiJ_G0008501.1)". The stretch from base 1 to 282 matches the Rfam family "7SK RNA". From Rfam's summary of the family: 7SK was discovered as an abundant small nuclear RNA in the mid-70s but a possible function has only recently been suggested. Two independent studies have found that 7SK RNA binds the CDK9/cyclin T complex (known as elongation factor P-TEFb). Lineage: Eukaryota; Metazoa; Chordata; Mammalia; Rodentia; Muridae. The record is from RNAcentral.
GGAUGUGAGGGCAGUCGGGCUAUGAUAAAUGUCACCCCACUUGUAGCAGGGUUGAUUGGUCUAAUCUGUCCGGCAGCCUGGGUGCCCCCUCCUCCCUCACUGCUCCAUGUUGAAGAGGAUGAUCGUCCCAGAGUAGAGGAGGCCUUGUCCUCAGUCAAGGGCAUAGACGUGCUGUGCUCCCGGCUAGAGCCUCCUGACAAGCUCUCAAGAAGUGAAGUAUAUUGAGGUAAAAUGGUCUAGACUGCCUUGGGAAACCAAGACUUUAGCUGCUAGUUGGUCCUUUAGGUUCAGCUAGAAGCCGCAGAGGCAGUAUGGACCAGACU